RNAcentral lists this ribosomal RNA (580 nucleotides) under uncultured prokaryote. RNAcentral describes it as "bacterial SSU rRNA". It matches the Rfam family "Bacterial small subunit ribosomal RNA", at positions 576 to 1156 of the family's 1533-position model. The record is from RNAcentral.
CCCUUGAACUCCUUNACGUGUGCUAUCUAAGGCUAACCCUGGACGUGCAGGCGAUACGGGCUGACUUGAGUACUACAGGGGAGACUGGAAUUUCUGGUGUAGCGGUGGAAUGCACAGAUAUCAGGAAGAACACCGAUGGCGAAGGCAGGUCUCUGGGUAGUAACUGACGCUGAGGAGCGAAAGCAUGGGUAGCGAACAGGAUUAGAUACCCUGGUAGUCCAUGCCGUAAACGGUGGGCGCUAGGUGUGGGGUUCCUUCCACGGGCUCCGCGCCGUAGCUAACGCAUUAAGCGCCCCGCCUGGGGAGUACGGCCGCAAGGCUAAAACUCAAAGAAAUUGACGGGGGCCCGCACAAGCGGCGGAGCAUGUGGAUUAAUUCGAUGCAACGCGAAGAACCUUACCUGGGCUUGACAUAUAGAGGAUCGCUACAGAGAUGUGGUUUCCCUUGUGGCUUCUAUACAGGUGGUGCAUGGUUGUCGUCAGCUCGUGUCGUGAGAUGUUGGGUUAAGUCCCGCAACGAGCGCAACCCUUGUCUUAUGUUGCCAGCACGUUAUGGUGGGGACUCGUGAGAGACUGCAAAA